UACGGAGGGUGCGAGCGUUAAUCGGAAUUACUGGGCGUAAAGCGCGCGUAGGCGGCCAAGUAAGCCGGUUGUGAAAGCCCCGGGCUCAACCUGGGAAUGGCAUCCGGAACUGUUUGGCUAGAGUGCAGAAGAGGAAGGUAGAAUUCCCGGUGUAGCGGUGAAAUGCGUAGAGAUCGGGAGGAAUACCAGUGGCGAAGGCGGCCUUCUGGUCUGACACUGACGCUGAGGUGCGAAAGCGUGGGUAGCAAACAGG
This 253-nucleotide unclassified non-coding RNA is filed under the name uncultured Halomonadaceae bacterium. RNAcentral's name for it is "contains 16S-23S intergenic spacer region". It matches the Rfam family "Bacterial small subunit ribosomal RNA", at positions 524 to 776 of the family's 1533-position model. The record is from RNAcentral. Lineage: Bacteria; Pseudomonadati; Pseudomonadota; Gammaproteobacteria; Oceanospirillales; Halomonadaceae.